AUUGAACGCUGGCGGCAGGCCUAACACAUGCAAGUCGAGCGGUAGCACAGGGAGCUUGCUCCUGGGUGACGAGCGGCGGACGGGUGAGUAAUGUCUGGGAAACUGCCUGAUGGAGGGGGAUAACUACUGGAAACGGUAGCUAAUACCGCAUAACGUCGCAAGACCAAAGAGGGGGACCUUCGGGCCUCUUGCCAUCAGAUGUGCCCAGAUGGGAUUAGCUAGUAGGUGGGGUAACGGCUCACCUAGGCGACGAUCCCUAGCUGGUCUGAGAGGAUGACCAGCCACACUGGAACUGAGACACGGUCCAGACUCCUACGGGAGGCAGCAGUGGGGAAUAUUGCACAAUGGGCGCAAGCCUGAUGCAGCCAUGCCGCGUGUAUGAAGAAGGCCUUCGGGUUGUAAAGUACUUUCAGCGGGGAGGAAGGUGUUGAGGUUAAUAACCUCAGCAAUUGACGUUACCCGCAGAAGAAGCACCGGCUAACUCCGUGCCAGCAGCUGCAGUAA
This 504-nucleotide ribosomal RNA is filed under the name uncultured bacterium. RNAcentral describes it as "partial 16S ribosomal RNA". It matches the Rfam family "Bacterial small subunit ribosomal RNA", at positions 30 to 523 of the family's 1533-position model. The record is from RNAcentral.